Nerophis ophidion (straightnose pipefish) is the source of this 4648-nucleotide RNA transcript. It is a transcript of the gene named methyltransferase like 25B, with no coding region annotated. The transcript has 10 exons. NCBI's taxonomy places the organism in Eukaryota, Metazoa, Chordata, Actinopteri, Syngnathiformes, Syngnathidae. The record is from RefSeq and is a predicted model, not a curated record.
UACUACCGGGUUAUGAUGCCUUCAAUAUAAAACAGCUCGGGAUUUUAAUAUAAAAUUGUACAUAUAAGCGAUUUAAAAAAAUAAUCUAAGCAUUAGACACACACUGACUAUGGAAUUUCAAAAUUACAUACAUAUAUUUUCAAUAUUGAUGAUUUAAGCGCGAUAUGGUAUUGCAACGAGGAGUUGGACGUUCACAUUUACAAUGAGGACCUGAACGCACCAGGGUUCUAGCAACGACUAAAAACACCAACAUACUCAUUGUGAGUUUCAUCAUUAUGCUUAAAUAUCGAAUGUGACUUUUCAGAAAUGUGCCCGAAUAUUAUACGAGAUUCGUGGAUUAAUUUAUUUGAAUUUUUUUUUAGUAUAUGCGUAGGUGAGACGAGAAGCAUUGCCCUCCGUGUUAGCAUUAGCUACCUUAGUUAGUUUUACCAUGACAACAUGGGAGAAAAACCAGGACAAAGUCUUUCUUCUGACGAGCAAAAAUAUCUGGCCCAAAGACUCACCGCCUUUCUGCACCAGUACAGGUUCUUAUCGGAGUCAUAUGUGAUUGAGUUCUUCACUGAGGAUUUGUGGCAGCAGUUACCUGUCAGCUGGCAGUCUGUCCUGCAGCACCUGUCCUACCCUCAGACUGCAGACCUGCUGCUGGACGCCGACUAUCAACCCAGGAGGUAUCCGUGCGUGUGGCCGCUGUCCCUACUGGCUUUCCGGGCCUCAGCCCACGCGCUCACCUUCCCCAGACACUCCUGGCGGGGUGCGGGCGGCACGGACGCGUCAGCCAAGCCCCAAGAGUUCCGCGACAAUCCGCACCAGAGCUCCCUGCUGGCCCACAUCUUCCGCAAGCACGUCAAGCCCAAGAAGCAGCACGAGAUCCGCAAGCUGGGCGCGUUGGUGGAGCAACUCUGCGAGCAGACCGGGUGCAAGCGAGUGGUGGACGUAGGCUCCGGACAGGGCCAUUUGACUCGCUUCCUGUCAUACGGGUGCGGUUUGUCCGUGACCGCCAUCGAGGCUGAUCCCACCUUGGUUGCCACGGCGACCAAGUUUGACGGAGAGCUACUACUGGCGUUGAAGAAGGAAGAACAGAAACGGAAGUGUUCUUAUGAGCUGCCAUCAUCACCUCGCCACGUGACAGGUUGGGUGGACCCCAAGGCAUCAUGGGAGGUUUUCGUCAAACAGCUGGAAGGUGACGUUAUUCCAGCGGGACACUGCGAAAAGCGAGCGCGGGUGUCGCCAUGCUGCGGCGCGCUGGACUCCAAAUCAUCCGGUCCUUCUGGGGACUUUGUCCUGACCGGUCUACACGCCUGCGGGGACCUCAGCCCCACCCUCCUCCGCCAUUUCGUCAAAUGCCCGCACAUCCGCGCCAUCACCUCUGUGGCGUGCUGCUACAUGAAACUCUCCACCCAGGAGCAGCCCGCCCCUCCGGGCGUGGUCGGGCCGCCGCCGUCGACCUCAAACCGGGACCCGCCACGCUCGGACUUUGGCUACCCCAUGAGCGAGCAUGUGCGGGCCUUGCCGGGACACGAGCUGUCCUACAAGGCGCGGGAGGGGGCGUGUCACGCCGUGGAGCACUACAUCGGGAGGCUGCGGGAGGAGAGCGCGCUGCUGCGCACGCACUGCUACCGCGCCACGUUGGAGGCCUUCGUCACAGGGGCCAGGCCGCAGCUGCGCAGGGCGGGGAUCCAGACUGUGAAGAAAGCCCACUUGCUAACCUUCACCGAAUUACACAACGUGCCAACUUCACUGCUUUUGGGUUCUGUAAACAAACAAAUACUGAAUCAGGUACGCCAAGUUGGGUCUGGCCCGGGUCGGCCUCCCCCCCUCCCUCCCUCUCGACCCGGGCCGCGUGGAGCGCAUGCUGGCGCAGCAAGGCAAGGUGGUCGCCUACUUCAGCCUUGCUCUGCUGCUGGCUCCUGUGGUAGAGACGCUGGUGCUGCUGGACCGCAUGAUCUACCUGCAGGAGAACGGUGUGGACAGUCAGCUGCUGCCUCUUUUUGACCCGGACUUUUCCCCAAGAAACUUUGUGCUGGUUGGUCUGAAGACCGGACGCUAGCAAAGAAAGGAACACUUGAAGCCGCACAAGCUUCUCCAUCUUGCGAUUCAGUUCAGAAAUCGCCCCAGACUGUGAUCCCACCUUCCAUCGCGACGAACAGCCUUUGGGCUCCUUGAGUGGCUGCCAUCAUCUUACAAUUUUACGAUACACCAGAGCAAUGGUGUAUCGCGAUCACGGUUCCAAAUACGUGGAUGUCUUCCACGUCCUCGAUGGAAAGGACUGAGAUGCACAUGGUUCUCCAUUCGUCCCAGGAAUCUCUCACGUACCCCACAGCAAUGGUUCCCUCAGGUAAGCCAGGCUCCUCAGAACCUCUUUUCCUCGGCGAAAAGAUUUUGUCAAUUGAGUCGAGAGUGCAGCUGAUCAAUUCCAUGUCUGAUGUUUGGAUUUGGAGGACAGCGCAAAGAAAGAGGCUUCAAAAAAAGUUUAGACAAGACAAAGAGAGCAAGCAAGGAGAAGACGGGAGGAGAAAAAAAUGCGACCGCCCUCACCAGAGGCAAGACGAAAAGCUGAUAUGUUUAAACUAAUAAUAAAUAAUACCUUACUUAGCCAGCCAUAACACAUUUUGUCUUUAAAUAUGUAUAACAUAUGUUUUUACCUUAUUUUCUUUGUUUUAUUAAAAAAUUACAAAAUGUCCCCGCCAUACUAGUAUGCGGCAUUUGGUGGAAAAAGUUUAGAUACUCUUAAUCUAAAAUAUUAGAAGCGUUAAAAAUAAAAAUACAUACAAUUAUAUACACAUUUUGUUAAUUACUUUGAAAAAAAAAACUAUGAAUUAAUACAAAAAUUACUACAACCAUAAUAAACACUGUUAAAUGUCUAACUGAAUAUUAAUAUUUUCCUACAGGCCGAACUUUUGAUACUCUCGGUUAUGCAGUUUAACAACCGUACUAUUAUUAGUAUUAUUAUUAUUUUUCUAUUAUUACAUGAGGGGAAAAAACAAUAGUAAAAAUGUAACAAAAAGAUCAAUACAUUGGAAAUUAAUGAGAAAAAGAGGAGAUUUUUAAACUAAUAACUAAUAAAAAUAUACUUAGUCACAUACAACGCUCCUAUUUUGUCUGUUUCCUGUGUUUCUCCCUGGGCACUGUUUCCCCUCGGAUGCGGCUGAUUGGCACCUGGCCACACCUGGUGUCAAUCAGCCUGAUCCUAUUGAGACCUGUUUUCUCCUCCAGUCAGGGCUGGAUUAUUGUCGUUUCUACCUGUCAUGUCGUAUCGUGUCAAUGCAACGUUGCGGGAAGCUAUAUUCGGUAGCUGUUUGUAGCUUACUGUCUUUUGUUCCCUGCUUCCAGUUUUUUUUGUUCAUAGCCAAGUUUGUUAUCCGCCUUGUGCGCGCUUUUUGUGUGUACCCUUUUGUUUUUGUUUUUGUCUUAGUGUUUUAUUAAAUCAUGUUUACCUGCAAAAUGCCAGCCUCCUUCUCUGCAUCUUAGGGUUCGUCACAAACUAACUCUAACAACAACCGUUCUAUUAUUAUUAUUAAUAUUAUUUUUCUAUUGUUACAUGAGGGGAAAAAACAAUAGUAAAAAUGUAACAAAAAGAUCAAUAAAUUGGAAAUUAAUGAGAAAAAGAGGAGAUUUUUAAACUAAUAACUAAUAAGAAUAUACUUAGUCACAUACAACACAAUUUUUUUUCUUUAAAUAUAUAUAAUAAUAUAUAAUACUUGACUUUACAGUAUGCGACCCUUGGUGGAAAAAGAUUAGAUGCUCUUAAUCUAAAAUAUUAGAAGCUAUCAAAAUAAAAAUAUAUACAAUUAUAUACACAUUUGGUUCAUUACUUUAAAAAAAAACCAAAAAACUUAUGAAUAAUAAAAAAAAUUACAACAACCAUAAUAAACACUAUUUAAUGUGUAACUGAACAUUAAUAUUUUCCUACAGGCCGAACUUUUGACACACUCGGUUAUGCAGUUUAACAACUGUCAGGCCUGGCCCUGACAGUUUGUCUAUGUUUUAGUGUUUUCCCCUGCAUUUGUCUUUGUUUCCUCUGUGUAUGUAGUAUUUCCUGUCAGCGCUCCUAUUUUGUCUGUUUCCUGUGUUUCUCCCUGGGCACUGUUUCCCCUCGGAUGCGGCUGAUUGGCACCUGGCCACACCUGGUGUCAAUCAGCCUGUCCUAUUGAGACCUGUUUUCUCCUCCAGUCAGGGCUGGAUUAUUGUCGUUUAUACCUGUCAUGUCGUGUCGUGUCGUGUCAAUGCAACGUUGCGGGAAGCUAUAUUCGGUAGCUGUUUGUAGCUUACUGUCUUUUGUUCCCUGCUUCCAGUUUUUUUUGUUCAUAGCCAAGUUUGUUAUCCGCCUCGUGCGCGCUUUUUGUGUGUACCCUUUUGUUCGGUUUUUGUCUUAGUGUUUUAUUAAAUCAUGUUUACCUGCAAAAUGCCAGCCUCCUUCUCUGCAUCUUAGGGUUCGUCACAAACUAACUCUAACAACAACCGUACUAUUAUUAUUAAUAUUAUUUUUCUAUUGUUACAUGAGGGGGAAAAAACAAUAGUAAAAAUGUAACAAUAAGAUCAAUAAAUUGGAAAUUAAUAAGAAAAAGAUGAUAUUUUUAAACGAAUAAUUAAUAAGAAUAUACUUAGUCACAUACAACACAAUGUUUAUUUCUUUAAAUAUAUAUAAUAA